RNAcentral lists this ribosomal RNA (454 nucleotides) under uncultured bacterium. Its description in RNAcentral is "partial 16S ribosomal RNA". It matches the Rfam family "Bacterial small subunit ribosomal RNA", at positions 28 to 507 of the family's 1533-position model. The record is from RNAcentral.
GAUGAACGCUGACAGAAUGCUUAACACAUGCAAGUCCACUUGAACUUCGGUUUGGGUGGCGGACGGGUGAGUAACGCGUACAGAACUUGCCUCACAGCUAGGGACAACAUUUGGAAACGAAUGCUAAUACCUGAUAUUAUGAUUAUAUGGCAUCGUAUAAUUAUGAAAGCUAUAUGCGCUGUGAGAGAGCUUUGCGUCCCAUUAGCUAGUUGGAGAGGUAACAGCUCACCAAGGCGAUGAUGGGUAGCCGGCCUGAGAGGGUGAUCGGCCACAAGGGGACUGAGACACGGCCCUUACUCCUACGGGAGGCAGCAGUGGGGAAUAUUGGACAAUGGACCGAGAGUCUGAUACAGCAAUUCUGUGUGCACGAUGAAGUUUUUCGGAAUGUAAAGUGCUUUCAGUUGGGAAGAAAAAAAUGACGGUACCAACAGAAGAAGUGACGGCUAAAUACGUG